UGAGAGAAUUAUUAGAUUUAAUAAAUUUUGAUUUUUGAAAACUUUAAUUAAAGAAAAUAAUUUGAUCUUUAAUUUAAAGUUAAUAGAGUAAAUUAUCUUAGGGAUAACGGCGUUAUAUUUUUUUUAUAGAUCUUAUAGAAAAAAAUGAUUGCGACCUCGAUCGUUGAAUGAAGAUAAAUGUUAAAUGUAGAAGUUUAAUAAUUAAGUCUGUUCGACUUUUAAAAUCUUACAUGAUUUGAGUUCAAACCGACGUAAGAUUUGAAAAGUCGAAG
Frieseomelitta varia is the source of this 272-nucleotide long non-coding RNA. RefSeq lists it as uncharacterized. Lineage: Eukaryota; Metazoa; Arthropoda; Insecta; Hymenoptera; Apidae. The record is from RefSeq and is a predicted model, not a curated record. The transcript is spliced from 3 exons.